RNAcentral lists this transfer-messenger RNA (396 nucleotides) under Patescibacteria group. RNAcentral describes it as "UBA12478 sp016205995 Standard tmRNA". It matches the Rfam family "transfer-messenger RNA". Rfam says of the family: Bacterial tmRNA, also known as 10Sa RNA or SsrA, is named for its dual tRNA and mRNA-like properties. RNAcentral also lists the same sequence under 1 other name. The record is from RNAcentral.
GGGGCUGAUCGGUAUCGACGGGAGUUCCUUCCAUUCUGAUCAAGCCGUGCGGGCAUGGGCCGCACGCAAAUAUUCCCCAUGCAAGACGACAACUGCAAACAACGUCAUGGCAAUGAUCAAGAACGCUUUCCGCGUUCCAUCAUUUGCUCCAGUCCUCGCCUAACGGCUUGUAGGACCAUCCGCCUUAGCGACGCUCGAUAGCUAGGACCCGGGUGUUAUAUCAUCGAGCUGGAACAGACGGUCACCGGUCUCGUCUGUUUAAGAGUUGCGAUCGGUUGCUGCCUGUGCGUUUCGUCACGCCUAGAGCAUAGGUAGGUAUCAAGGCGUGACUGAGCUUGGUACCGUCAGAAUGAAAAGCCUUACCGCACGGGAGUUCGAUUCUCCCCAGCUCCACCA